AAAUUGAAGAGUUUGAUCAUGGCUCAGAUUGAACGCUGGCGGCAGGCCUAACACAUGCAAGUCGAACGGUAACAGGAAGCAGCUUGCUGCUUUGCUGACGAGUGGCGGACGGGUGAGUAAUGUCUGGGAAACUGCCUGAUGGAGGGGGAUAACUACUGGAAACGGUGGCUAAUACCGCAUAACGUCGCAAGACCAAAGAGGGGGACCUUCGGGCCUCUUGCCAUCAGAUGUGCCCAGAUGGGAUUAGCUUGUUGGUGAGGUAACGGCUCACCAAGGCGACGAUCCCUAGCUGGUCUGAGAGGAUGACCAGCCACACUGGAACUGAGACACGGUCCAGACUCCUACGGGAGGCAGCAGUGGGGAAUAUUGCACAAUGGGCGCAAGCCUGAUGCAGCCAUGCCGCGUGUAUGAAGAAGGCCUUCGGGUUGUAAAGUACUUUCAGCGGGGAGGAAGGUGUUGUGGUUAAUAACCGCAGCAAUUGACGUUACCCGCAGAAGAAGCACCGGCUAACUCCGUGCCAGCAGCCGCGGUAAUACGGAGGGUGCAAGCGUUAAUCGGAAUUACUGGGCGUAAAGCGCACGCAGGCGGUCUGUCAAGUCGGAUGUGAAAUCCCCGGGCUCAACCUGGGAACUGCAUUCGAAACUGGCAGGCUUGAGUCUUGUAGAGGGGGGUAGAAUUCCAGGUGUAGCGGUGAAAUGCGUAGAGAUCUGGAGGAAUACCGGUGGCGAAGGCGGCCCCCUGGACAAAGACUGACGCUCAGGUGCGAAAGCGUGGGGAGCAAACAGGAUUAGAUACCCUGGUAGUCCACGCCGUAAACGAUGUCUACUUGGAGGUUGUGCCCUUGAGGCGUGGCUUCCGGAGCUAACGCGUUAAGUAGACCGCCUGGGGAGUACGGCCGCAAGGUUAAAACUCAAAUGAAUUGACGGGGGCCCGCACAAGCGGUGGAGCAUGUGGUUUAAUUCGAUGCAACGCGAAGAACCUUACCUGGUCUUGACAUCCACGGAAGUUUUCAGAGAUGGAUUUGUGCCUUCGGGAACCGUGAGACAGGUGCUGCAUGGCUGUCGUCAGCUCGUGUUGUGAAAUGUUGGGUUAAGUCCCGCAACGAGCGCAACCCUUAUCCUUUGUUGCCAGCGAUUCGGUCGGGAACUCAAAGGAGACUGCCAGUGAUAAACUGGAGGAAGGUGGGGAUGACGUCAAGUCAUCAUGGCCCUUACGACCAGGGCUACACACGUGCUACAAUGGCGCAUACAAAGAGAAGCGACCUCGCGAGAGCAAGCGGACCUCAUAAAGUGCGUCGUAGUCCGGAUUGGAGUCUGCAACUCGACUCCAUGAAGUCGGAAUCGCUAGUAAUCGUGGAUCAGAAUGCCACGGUGAAUACGUUCCCGGGCCUUGUACACACCGCCCGUCACACCAUGGGAGUGGGUUGCAAAAGAAGUAGGUAGCUUAACCUUCGGGAGGGCGCUUACCACUUUGUGAUUCAUGACUGGGGUGAAGUCGUAACAAGGUAACCGUAGGGGAACCUGCGGUUGGAUCACCUCCUUACCUUAAAGAA
RNAcentral lists this ribosomal RNA (1552 nucleotides) under Salmonella enterica subsp. enterica serovar Montevideo str. CT_02035318. RNAcentral's name for it is "bacterial SSU rRNA". It matches the Rfam family "Bacterial small subunit ribosomal RNA". The record is from RNAcentral. Lineage: Bacteria; Pseudomonadati; Pseudomonadota; Gammaproteobacteria; Enterobacterales; Enterobacteriaceae.